GAUUUGGGCUUCGAUGGCCAUCGGAUCUGUCUUCCGGCGCAUCUGAGUCGUUGGAUUUUCCCAGUAGUCAAAACUGAUUUUUGACCUUCCGGUUGUUUUUUCUGACCAAUGACGGGUGGGCUCGGGUGGCGCGCUCAUUGGCUGGGUUCGCCAAUCCCGCGUGCAGGAGGCUUUGGCCAAUCCGCACCGCGCGCAACGCAGCCAAUCCCUCGCCCUCGUCUCACCCCCGCACCAGCCGCCACACGAACCCUAGCCCCCGUUCCCCAAAAUCCCACAGCCUCUCCCGCCUUCUCCACCCCUCCUCCACGCAUCACCAUGACCUAGGGUUGAGGAGGUCAGGUCUUCUCGCUGGGAUGGAGGAGCUGGGGAGGGUCGAGAGGCCGGCGGUGGGGAGCAGCUAGGCCGGCCUGCCGUCUUUGCCUCCUCUCCGUACUCCACAGGAGGUGUGCAGGUUGCUGCUGCGACCCUCCAUUCCCUUCUCUGCUGGUGCUCCUCUCACCGUCUCACGCCGUCAUGCUUGCGUCGACCACCGCGUCCACCCUCAACUCUCUUCGUUGCUCAAGGCGGCAGAAGGACGGAUGGCGGUGGUCCGAGAUCUACUGCCUCCAUCCCUGGCCCGUCAGUGUCGCAGCUAGCCGUACCGAUGGCGCUGCUCAACCUACGGCAGGAUCAGAAGAUGCUUUACACAUGAUUGUGUGAUGCUCAGAGACAUUUUGCAUAGAGGAAACUUCUUGUGAAGCUUGAUUUUAUUCAGGUGCCUAACUGACUACCGCUUCCUCGGCGUUUGUGCUUACCAGUAUGCCGGAAACUUCUUGUGAAGCUCGCCGUUUCAGAGCCAUAUGAUUUUUUCAUAGAAACAGGAGCAGAGUAAAAUGGACACAACUUCUGUUGCAUCUGAGCUUUCUAUCAGCACCGACAACCGCAAUGGGAUGGAUCGAGCAGCCAAGACUCAGCAUGUGGUCGAUAGUGUGUCCUGCUCCCAACCAUGCAGGUGCCUUACUGUACCAUGCCGUCUCCUGCAUGCCAUGCCCCUCAAACCCAACCAUCAUAUGAACCAUGGCAUGGCUCAGCCGCCUCAAUUUUUGGCGCCAACAACGCUUUUCUCUCUCACAAGUUUGCUUAGCCAUGGACAGUGAGGUCACCCUUCUCUGAUUUUCUCCGAUUUCUUCAUUUUCAGUUGCGAUGUUUGGAGCAAUUUUUAAUGGUGAUAAUGAUCUAAAAUAAAAUAGAGCAAUGAUAUACACAAAGAGAGACAGUAGGGGCUAAUUGGAUGCCUAGCUUCUUAAACCAAUGAUAUAUACAAAAUAUUAUUUGAGUAGAAUAGGAGAGAUGCAAUUUUAUGAAUAAUUCAGCAUUUGUAAGAACUUUCCAGCUUACCAAGUGGACUUGAAAAGCCAUGUAUAGGUCUUCAGGUGUCAUAGUUUGUCUGCAAAGUUUAUCUUGUUUUAGUGUGCUCAAAACAACUAAAGAGACACAAUCAUGAUUUUAACAAAAAAUAAUUGGACAUUAUGUUGAAUUUCAUGGUACACCAUCCAUUUUUCGAGGGAGUAGAGGCAUCAUGGGAGGCAACCUUUUAGUUUUUGCUUAGCUACCUGGCGCCUAUAUUUUCGAAAGGUAUAAAUAUCUUUAACUCUCAUGAAUCCUUAUAUACUAUGGCCAUAUGAUAGACUCGUCCAGAUAAGUUAUUUUGGCUAUGUAUCUGUAGUGUUGGCAAUACAUGGGAGUGUUUUUUUUUCUGCAUGUGUAGUUCUAUGUUUGGCAUUUUGAUCUUGAAAACAAUUGCUUCUUGCCGCUCUUCCAGCACUGAAGUUAUGUCUUUCGUGCCAAUUUCAAGUGCUUCACUACCUCUACACAUGGAUCCUGUAGGUGUUUCCUAAUGUAAGUGUCACUGUUUUCCUUCUUUAUGUACCUGGACGGGAGUGCUCAUGAGGAUGACGACAUGCUACUGAACUCAAUUUCAGAAAUGUGAUUGGGGGCCUGGGGUCUGGAGCCCCUCAUUAGUAGUGCUCAGGUGGCAUGUCACAGUUGUUUGCUGAGAAUUUACCCAGAACAAUUUUUGCUUGUCUCUAGCAUGAGGCUAUGAGCCCUAUAGCAGUAUUAGUGUGAUGAUCUACCACUUGACCAGGAAGGGGGGAUUGAAAGAUAGCACUUAACGUUUGGAGCAAUUAGUAUUGGACUAUUUGAGGAAGUAAAUGUUUAAACUUUAAACCAUUAAACCUUAUAUUCUUGAGACUUGCUUCGGUAGACCCCCCCUCACAAACCGUAUAAAGGGCAACAUGGUCAUUUGACCAUAACGUACACCCAUCUUUCGUAUGUGACACGUACUGUACGUUGACGUACACAGCCGAUCCGCCCGCCACACACACCCCUCUUCCUGGGCGGCACAUUUCUUUUCUUUUUUUAACCCUAAAAAAUUAGGCGCAUGGAGUAGGAUUUGAACACCAGACCUUAUGGUUUAUUUCCACCUACUAUAACCAACUAGGACAACUCACUUGUUAUAAAUAAAUACUUCUUUUACUCUUAUUAUUGUUUAUUUUCUCAGACUACUAAUGAGAAAGCUUUGGCUGGUUGGAUUUGACUUGAGAAUGUGGCUUUCCAUAGAUAGUUUGCACAAACAAACGGAAUUGGUUCCAAUUUGUUCCCUAAAACUGUCCAGCGGAAAUUAAGUGCGCUCCUAAAAUCAUGCGAGUAUAAUUGAGAGUCUGUUUAUUUCUCUUUUGUUUUUUAGGAAAUUACGUUCAAUGAAAUUUUGUAUGCCAUACAUGCUACUAAAAUCAGACGGAUAUUAAAUUAUCUUCCGCCGGCAUCACCUUGUGCUUCCUUUAGUUAAUCAAAUUGCUUCAAAUUUAAAAUAUGUUCGAACUUAACCAAAAGUUGUUUUGUGUUGGAUAAAAUUAUUUAUCUCAUCACAUCUCGAACGGGGAAUUUGCUUGCUUCCGAUGCAUACCAAAUUUUCUUUGAGGCAACACGCGUUUUCAACACAAUGAAAUCAUGUUUCAGUCAAUUCGAGAAUUUACUCCUGGUGCAACUAAAAUAUGCUUCUAUUUUUUGCAAGGAACUAAAAUAUGCAUCGACUUAACACAAAAUAUUAUCCAUAUAAUUAUUAUUUUCGUCCAUCAUAUCCAAGUUAGAGAAUUUGCUUCCAUGAGAUAGAUACAUGAUUCCAAUGUAAUAUAAUAUUCUCGUUUCCAAUCACAGUAAAAAUUGGGCGCUCUAAUUGUACAUUUUGCUUCCAUCAUGGUUCAGAUUUUAGAAAUUUGGGUCACUUCAUGGAUGUCCAAAAAACACCAUGUUCAACGGAGGGUGGUUGGCUAGGAUAGAAAUCUUCAUUUGAGAGCACAUUUUUUUGGCAUCCAUGAAAUGACGCCAAUAUUUAUUUCCAGGAGCUUAUAUGACCAAUUAAAGGCACCGUGCCAAGUUGUUUUAGUUUUCGACAAAUUUUGCAUUUUCUGGAGUUUUCUCGGGCAAAAAAGUUCAUAAAUGGCCGAGCGUGUCACAACUUGCGUAUGAUUUUGGAAAUCGUUCAAAUCUGGCCUGGAUGCCUACCAUGGGCAUUCCCACCUACUUGCAAGAUUUGGGAUCAUUUGAAGGAUGUACAAACAUAGACCAUGUCCAACGGAGGGUGUCCGGCUAGGCCAGAAGGCUUCGUCUGAGAGCACGAUGUUUCCCGAUAUCCUUCAAAUGACCCCAUUUUUUUUUCUAUGCCUUGUAUGACCAAUUCAAGGCACCAUGCGAAAUUAUUUUGGUUUUUGACAAAUUUUGCAUUUCCUGGAGUUUUCCCGGUCAAAAAAUGGUCAGACAUGUCGCAACUUGCAUAAGGUGUCAAAAUUCGUUCAAACCUGGCACGAAUGCCUACCAUAGCCAUGCCCUUGCAAAAUUUGGGGUCAAUUCAAGAAUUUCUAAAACUAAACGAUGUUUAACGGAGGGUGUCUAGGUAUGCUAGAAGGCUUCAUCUGAGAGCAUGUUGUUUCUCCACAUCCUUGAAAUGGCCUCAAUUUUUUUCAUGACCUUCUAUGAUCAAUUCAAGACAUCAUGCCAAGUUGUUUUGGUUUUCGAUAAUUUUUGCAUUUUCUGGCGUUUUCUCGGUCAAAAAAGGUCGAUAAAAUGACAGGACGUGUCACAACUUGCAUACUGAGUCGGAAAUCGUUCAAACCUGACAUGGAUUCCUACCAUGGGUAUCCCCACCUUCUUGCAAAAGGUUGGUUCAUUUCAAGAAUAUCCAAUACUAGACCAUGUUUAACAUAGGGUGUCCGGAUAGGCAGAAGGCUCCGGUUUUGGGAACCUUUCAGAAGGUUCCGAAAUCGCUUUUCUGGCUGGUUUCCCUUUUAGUAUUUUAUUUUAUUUUUUAUUUUUCUUGUUUUUCAUGUUUAUUUUUUAUCCGCACUGUAAAAAAAUUGUUUGUAGUUUUCUAAAAUGUUCGUGUUUUCAGUUUUGUUCCUGUUUUUCGAAAUGUUCUACUUUUCAAUGUUUUUUCCUUUCUAAAAAAUAUGUUUGAGAUUCCCAAAAAAUCACGUUUUCACAAAUGUUUUAUUUUCUUGAAUCACAAAUUUGAAAAUGUCGCGUUUCCCAAAAGUUUUUCACAAUUUCAAAAAAUGUUACCAUUUUCAAUUUUGUUCAUUUCCUAUUUCCCAAAAAACGUUCACAUUUUCACAAAAUGUCUUAGUUUCUUUUAAUCACAGAUUUUAAAUGAUUGUGUGUCUAAAAAAUCCAAAAAGUAAAUGAGAUCGGAUGUGAAAAAAAUAAUAUCACGGCUUAUGGUUCAUAUAGACCGGGCUACCUUUUUGGACACCAAAUCUCAUUUAGUAUAGUGGCUACCGAAAUGGUAAACUUGCGCGAGGUCCCAAGUUUGUUCCCUGUCGCACACUUUGGUUUAUCUUAAUUUUCUCAGCUCAUGUUUUAAGUUUUACCGGGACAUUAAGUUUCUUAAACUUUCGCGUUGAUAAUUGAACACCAAAGGUUUGAAGGCAUAGUGACUAGCACAGCGCACUCAUCACAUAGAGGAUGCAGGUUCGAAUCCAAACGCCAUCCUUUUUUGUAAUGAAUUUUCUCCCUGCACCAAUAAAUGGGACGGCCCAGGUGAGCCGCCCUUGCGCAAAACAUACUGACAAUAGCUUGUAUGGUACGCAGGCUAUGUAUUGGAGGUCUUCAUGCAGAAGAUGCACUUUAAAAAAAAGACCAUCCUGCCCUUUAUUAUGAAGGGGUAUGGAUAAUCUCAGCCAUCGAUGUGUUUAAGGGGGGUUUACUGAAGCAGAAGUGUAUAUUCUUAUGUAAAAAGGUUCUGUGUUUUUUUAAUCCAUUAGCGGAGUUAGUUUGUCUAAAAUAACUAACUAUCUAGACUAAUAUGGAAUGAUGAAAAUUUCAGAACUAGAUGUCAAGUUUAAUGCGUCUGGCUUCUUUAACUUGUACUCUUUAUUUCUAAUAUUUUCUUUGUUGUUGAGGUUGCCUCUAUGUUUUAUUACUGUGGAUCUAAUUUAGAUAAUUUGAAAAUAGUCCUAUGUACGAGUAUGCUCAUCUAUAAUAGUUGGGGAGGGAAAUCGUACGAAUUACAGAUUUUGUAAAAAAUUGGCAGUACUAUAUGCAUAAAUCUAAAUUAUUGUUCAUAAUGGAUUCACCACCGCUCUACAUAAGCUACAUUUGCUAUUUAUGUAAGCUGAAUUAGUAGCACUACUUCCUGUUUUCUUGCUUGCAAUACCAUGUACUGCCUCUUUACUUUGUUCUCCACAUUUUAAAUUUUGUCUUUCUUCGGAAGUAUAGUCGCCAACUUAUAGUCUGCAUUGUGUAUAACCGAAAUGAGUGUAGUUUCCUAAUACAAUUGUCUAUAACCGAAAUGAGUGUUGUUUCGUGAUACCAAAGCAUGUGCGCUCACGUAUUUGUCUCUCUUUUACAGCUGAGUGCAUGAAAAACAUGCACAUGGCCAAAAGUUGAAAAAGUACGAGCAAUUGGGUUUUGUUUUUCUCUUAGAAUUGUUCAUGUUCAUGCUGUUGUCAUUUUUUCUGAAAUUUAGGACCUGUUCGGAUCUUCUCCGCUCCACAACCGCAGCUCCCGGAGCGGAGGGAGCGGUAGCACAAUUCGACGGAGUGGCUUAAACCGAGCUCCACUUUUCCUCAGAGCGUGGAGCGGAGUUUGAGAUCGGAGAGAUUCCAAACAGGCCCUUAGACAACUCUUUCCACUUAAUAAUAGUUUACUGAUUUCAGUGCAUCCUAUGUAUAUUUGUCUGAUUGGUCGUCCUCUCAUCCGGACUUACUCAGUGUUGCAUUUGUGUGUUCCUUUACCCUGUGCUGCUUAUUUUUUGCUUGUGUGAGUGGGUUGUGUGUUGUUGUUUCCAUCCUCAUUUAGUAUGGUGAUGUUUUUUAAGAUGACUUCUAUAUUGCUGGAAACUUAAUUUUUAAUUUAUACAUUUGAGCAGUUGACUAGAUAAAAUAAUAAUUUCUGUACGAUUGAGGCCAGUUUAUUUGGCAAGGUUGAAGAAAAAUAGGAUGAAUAUGCACAUGUUGUUACUGUACAAAGGCUAAACGCUCACUGAUGGUUCUUUCCUGAGGUUGAGUAGGAGUGUCUCCCUUUUUCGAAUAAUUUUCUCUCUACAAUUGCCUAAAGAAUAGCUAGAAUCUGGAACAAACCUGCUAUGAAUAAUUGCAUUAUUACUUCAGUGAAAAGUUCCUGGGCAUACUAUGUGUUCCUCUCGACUUGGUUGAAAGUAUUUCUUUUGUUAUCUAGUUUCUCACUACGCAUGUUACCUUUGUUGCUGAGUUUUGCCUACAGUUUAUAUAUAGUAGACUCACAUGAUUACCUGAUGCGGAUUCUACAACUUGGAAAACACAUAUAGGAUAUUCAAGUUGUGUGGGGCGCCCUGGAGAAAGCUUGCUACUCCAGUCAGCCACUUACACGAUAAUCCAGUGCUGCAGGUGCAAGAACUGUUAAUUUUUUCGUUUUCUGCAAUGAUGGUAGUUCUUCUUUGAUUCUACAAGCCGCAGAUGAAUGAAGGAUAGAAAAUAUUUCCAUUGUCAUUGAAUUGGUGGGAUUGUCACCAAGUUAGUGCCGCAGAUUGUUUCUAUUUUAGAUGAAGAAGCCAAAUCAUGAUGUUAAUUGUAAAUCUUGAAAGACUUGUUGUUUAUUGUCACUUCUAUAUCUGUUAUAAACUUU
Triticum aestivum (bread wheat) is the source of this 7140-nucleotide long non-coding RNA. RefSeq lists it as uncharacterized. The transcript has 4 exons. The record is from RefSeq and is a predicted model, not a curated record. Lineage: Eukaryota; Viridiplantae; Streptophyta; Magnoliopsida; Poales; Poaceae.